GUUGUAUAGUCAAGUAAUUAAGUGCAUGUGGUGGAUGCCUUGGCAGUCAGAGGCGAUGAAAGACGUGAUAGCCUGCGAAAAGCUCCGGGGAGGCGGCAAAUAUCCUUUGAUCCGGAGAUGUCUGAAUGGGGGAACCCACCUACUUUAAGGUAGGUAUUGCAACAUGAAUACAUAGUGUUGCAAGGCGAACGAGGGGAAGUGAAACAUCUCAGUACCCUUAGGAAAAGAAAUCAAUUGAGAUUCCCUCAGUAGCGGCGAGCGAACGGGGAUCAGCCCAUUAAGUUAUGUGUGUUUUAGUGGAACGCUCUGGGAAGUGCGAACGUAGAGGGUGAUAUUCCCGUACACGAAAGGGCACACAUAAUGAUGACGAGUAGGGCGAGGCACGUGAAACCUUGUCUGAAUAUGGGGGGACCAUCCUCCAAGGCUAAAUACUCCUGACUGACCGAUAGUGAACCAGUACCGUGAGGGAAAGGCGAAAAGAACCCCUGUGAGGGGAGUGAAAUAGAUCCUGAAACCGCAUGCAUACAAGCAGUGGGAGCACCUUCGUGGUGUGACUGCGUACCUUUUGUAUAAUGGGUCAGCGACUUAUAUUCAGUAGCGAGGUUAACCGUAUAGGGGAGCCGUAGAGAAAUCGAGUCUUAAUAGGGCGUUUAGUUGCUGGGUAUAGACCCGAAACCAGGCGAUCUAUCCAUGAGCAGGUUGAAGGUUGGGUAACACUAACUGGAGGACCGAACCCACUGUCGUUGAAAAGCCAGGGGAUGACUUGUGGAUAGGGGUGAAAGGCUAAUCAAGCCUGGUGAUAGCUGGUUCUCCCCGAAAGCUAUUUAGGUAGCGCCUCGGACGAAUACCAUAGGGGGUAGAGCACUGUUUCGGCUAGGGGGUCAUCCCGACUUACCAAACCGAUGCAAACUCCGAAUACCUAUGAGUACUAUCCGGGAGACAGACUGCGGGUGCUAACGUCCGUAGUCAAGAGGAAAACAAUCCAGACCGCCAGCUAAGGCCCCAAAAUCAUAGUUAAGUGGGAAACGAUGUGGGAAGGCAUAGACAGCUAGGAGGUUGGCUUAGAAGCAGCCACCCUUUAAAGAAAGCGUAAUAGCUCACUAGUCGAGUCGGCCUGCGCGGAAGAUGUAACGGGGCUAAAACUAUGUGCCGAAGCUGCGGAUNNNNNNNNNNNNNNNNNNNNNNNAUGCUGGAGGUAUCAGAAGUGCGAAUGCUGACGUGAGUAACGACAAAACGGGUGAAAAACCCGUUCGCCGAAAGACCAAGGGUUCCAGUCCAACGUUAAUCGGGGCUGGGUGAGUCGACCCCUAAGGCGAGGCCGAAAGGCGUAGUCGAUGGGAAAAUGGUUAAUAUUCCAUUACUUCUGUGUAAUGCGAUGAGAGGACGGAGAAGGCUAAAUCAGCCUGGCGUUGGUUGUCCAGGUGAAAGGAUGUAGGCAUGUAUCUUAGGCAAAUCCGGGGUACUCUAUGCUGAGAUCUGAUAGCAAGCUGUACUUGUACAGCGAAGUGGUUGAUGCCAUGCUUCCAGGAAAAGUCUCUAAGCUUCAGUUACACAGGAAUCGUACCCGAAACCGACACAGGUGGUCAGGUCGAGUAGACCAAGGCGCUUGAGAGAACUCUGCUGAAGGAACUAGGCAAAAUGGUACCGUAACUUCGGGAGAAGGUACGCUGUUGUUGGUGAUGGAACUCGCUUCCUGAGCUGACGACAGCCGCAGAAACCAGGCCGCUGCAACUGUUUAUUAAAAACAUAGCACUCUGCAAACACGAAAGUGGACGUAUAGGGUGUGAUGCCUGCCCGGUGCUGGAAGGUUAAUUGAUGGGGUUAGCGUAAGCGAAGCUCUUGAUCGAAGCCCCAGUAAACGGCGGCCGUAACUAUAACGGUCCUAAGGUAGCGAAAUUCCUUGUCGGGUAAGUUCCGACCUGCACGAAUGGCAUAAUGAUGGCGGCGCUGUCUCCAGCAGAGGCUCAGUGAAAUCGAAAUCGCUGUGAAGAUGCAGUGUACCCGCGGCUAGACGGAAAGACCCCGUGAACCUUUACUGCAGCUUGACACUGAACUUUGACCUUACUUGUGUAGGAUAGGUGGGAGGCUUUGAAGCUGGAACGCUAGUUCCAGUGGAGCCGUCCUUGAAAUACCACCCUGGUAAUGUUGAGGUUCUAACUCUGUCCCGUGAUCCGGGACGAGGACCGUGUCUGGUGGGUAGUUUGACUGGGGCGGUCUCCUCCUAAAGAGUAACGGAGGAGUACGAAGGUGCGCUCAGCGUGGUCGGAAAUCACGCGUAGAGUAUAAAGGCAAAAGCGCGCUUAACUGCGAGACCCACAAGUCGAGCAGGUACGAAAGUAGGUCUUAGUGAUCCGGUGGUUCUGUAUGGAAGGGCCAUCGCUCAACGGAUAAAAGGUACUCUGGGGAUAACAGGCUGAUACCGCCCAAGAGUUCAUAUCGACGGCGGUGUUUGGCACCUCGAUGUCGGCUCAUCUCAUCCUGGGGCUGAAGCAGGUCCCAAGGGUAUGGCUGUUCGCCAUUUAAAGAGGUACGCGAGCUGGGUUUAGAACGUCGUGAGACAGUUCGGUCCCUAUCUACCGUGGGCGCUGGAAAUUUGAGAGGAUCUGCUCCUAGUACGAGAGGACCAGAGUGGACGAACCUCUGGUGUACCGGUUGUGACGCCAGUCGCAUCGCCGGGUAGCUAUGUUCGGAAGGGAUAACCGCUGAAAGCAUCUAAGCGGGAAGCCUACCUCAAGAUAAGAUUUCCCUAGGACUUUAUGUCCUCUAAAGAGCCGUUCGAGACUAGGACGUUGAUAGGUUGGAUGUGGAAGCAUAGUGAUAUGUGAAGCUGACCAAUACUAAUUGCUCGUGAGGCUUGACUAUACAACACCCAAGCAGUUG
Molecule: ribosomal RNA, 2880 nt
Filed under: Acinetobacter baumannii
Lineage: Bacteria; Pseudomonadati; Pseudomonadota; Gammaproteobacteria; Moraxellales; Moraxellaceae
Description: bacterial LSU rRNA
Rfam family: Bacterial large subunit ribosomal RNA
Source: RNAcentral